This 796-nucleotide non-coding RNA is filed under the name Melanoplus bivittatus (two-striped grasshopper). RNAcentral's name for it is "12S ribosomal RNA". The stretch from base 344 to 786 matches the Rfam family "Microsporidia small subunit ribosomal RNA", at positions 752 to 1303 of the family's 1311-position model. Lineage: Eukaryota; Metazoa; Arthropoda; Insecta; Orthoptera; Acrididae. The record is from RNAcentral.
AAAAAGUUUUAUUCUUGCUUAAAUGUUUGCUUUUUCUUUGAAUUAUAUGUAAGUUUUGUAAGACUGAAUGUUCUUUUAGCAGUAAUUUGAUUUAAUUAAUCAAGUGAUUUUGGAGUUAGCAAUUGAUUUAGUAUUGGCUUAAUUCGUGCCAGCAGCCGCGGUUAUACGAUUAAUACAAGUAAAUAUUAUUGGUUAUGGCAGUUAAUUAUAUUUUUGAAAUGAAUUUAAAAUUUUUAUGGUGAAAUUUAAAAUUUUUUUGUGUUUCUUUAUAUGAAUCUGUGAAACUUAAAUAAUAAACUAGGAUUAGAUACCCUAUUAUUUUAAGUGUUAAUUUAAUUUACCAGGGUAUUAUUAGUUAAGGUCUUUAAACCCAAAGAAUUUGGCGGUAUCUCAUUCCAUUCAGAGGAACCUACCCCGUGAUUGAUAGUACACGAUUAACUUUACUUAAUUUAUUUGUUUGUAUAUCUCCGUUAUCAGAAAAUCUUUUUAGAGUUAUAAUUUUCUUGAUUUAUAAUUAUAAAGUAUUUCAGGUCAAGGUGCAGCUUAUAAUUAAGAGGAGGUGGGUUACAAUAGGUUUUUGUUUAUAACGGAUUUGGUAGUGAAAUACUAUUAAUGAAGGUGGAUUUGAUAGUAAUUUAACAUAUUUAGUUUAACUGAUAUUGGCUCUGAGGUGUGUACACAUCGCCCGUCGCUCUCAUUAUUAAUAUUUAUUUAUUUUAUUUAUAAUAAAAUUUAAGUUAGAUGAGAUAAGUCGUAACAUAGUAGAUGUACUGGAAAGUGUAUCUAGAAAGAAUUU